UUCUAGGACUUUAUAGAGCAGAGGUUUGCAGCCUGUGACACUCAGCUCAUGGAGACCUAGGUGG
Molecule: microRNA precursor, 64 nt
Filed under: Mus musculus (house mouse)
Lineage: Eukaryota; Metazoa; Chordata; Mammalia; Rodentia; Muridae
Description: Mmu-Mir-1929_pre stem-loop
Source: RNAcentral